GCUUUCCCUUCACAUCUUGCCCUCUCGGAGCUUGGCGGUGCUCCGGGGAGUCAACACAGGGGGAUAGAGCAGCUUUCCCUCACUAAAACCCAGUGCGGAGCCGUUCCCUCCGCCCUGCAUCCUGUCGUGAGGCACAAAUAGUCCGUCCCUCCAUUCCUCCCUCACGGUCCCCUUGCUGCCCGGCUGAUGCCUUUCUCCCUCCGCAGUGUGUCCCGAGGUACCGGCGAGCCCUUCAAAUGCUGCCGAUGGGCAGGAGGCCGAGCGCGGCGGGCCUGGGCAGGGGGAAGCGCUGGCGAUCUGUGCUCAGGCCUUUGGACGCCUAUGGGUGAGGGGCACACCGAGCUCAUCGCUCCUCUUACAGCCUGAGGCUGAGGCCUCACAUAGCAACCUCAUGCUUGAAAUGUCUUAGAUGUGGAUAAUCACACCUAAAUGUGAAGCAAUACUCGAGACUUCUUAGGAAUAAAUAAUGCCUUGUAAUGGAAGGAAUGAAGACAACGUGUGCCAGGAACUGACAUUAAACAUCAGCUUAUGAUUUCCUGACUGGGUGAUUUCUGACUUCAUACAAGAUGAUUCCAGUUGUCAUCUCUAAGUAUCGUCUUGGAAGUAGAAUUUGAGACAAGCGAUGGCUUAAAUUAUGUCCUCAGUGAUCAUGUUGAAACAGGUUUCCUAACAAAAACUGCUGUAAUUUGACUCUGUUUGUGGAUUAUUGAAAUAAAUUGAGUAUUAAUUAAAAGUAUGCUACUAAAA
This is a long non-coding RNA of Vidua chalybeata, 747 nucleotides long. RefSeq lists it as uncharacterized. The record is from RefSeq and is a predicted model, not a curated record. NCBI's taxonomy places the organism in Eukaryota, Metazoa, Chordata, Aves, Passeriformes, Viduidae. The transcript is spliced from 3 exons.